Molecule: non-coding RNA, 602 nt
Filed under: Linnemannia elongata AG-77
Lineage: Eukaryota; Fungi; Mortierellomycota; Mortierellomycetes; Mortierellales; Mortierellaceae
Description: Mortierella elongata AG-77 Eukaryotic large subunit ribosomal RNA
Rfam family: Eukaryotic large subunit ribosomal RNA
Source: Rfam by way of RNAcentral
CAGAAUGAGCGAGUAAGGAACGAAUAAAGAAGAGCGGGAUGAUUCGAAUAUAUUACAGCACCUGGCUCAUAGCGACGUUGCUUUUUGAUCCUUCGAUAUCGGCUCUUCCUAUCAUACUGAAGCAAAAUUCAGUAAGCGUUGGAUUGUUCACCCACUAAUAGGGAACUUAGACCGUUGUGAGACAGGUUAGUUUUACCCUACUGAUGAAAUGUUGUUGCAAUAGUAUUUGAACUUAGUACGAGAGGAACCAUUCAUUCGGAUAAUUGGUAUUUGGGCCUGCCUGAGCAGGCAAUGGCCCCGAAGCUAUCAUCCGUUGGGUUAUGGCUGAACUCCUCCAAGUCAGAACCCGUGCUAGAACGCGACGAUUACCGCCUUUUCCGAUUUUUAGUUGAAUACGAAUAGAUCUUCGGAUCCUGAAUCAUGCUACAAGGGGUCGAUCUUGCAGAGCGGAAAGACCUUGUGAGGUUCCUCCUAAUGUUAGUUUCAAAUAUUGGAAGAGAUAAAUCCAUUGCAGACGACUUUAAUUUAACGGGGGGUAUUGCAAGGAAUAGAGCAGCCUUUGUUACGAUCUGCUGAGAUUAAGCCCAUAGUUCUAUAGGUUU